This 397-nucleotide ribosomal RNA is filed under the name uncultured bacterium. Its description in RNAcentral is "partial 16S ribosomal RNA". It matches the Rfam family "Bacterial small subunit ribosomal RNA", at positions 523 to 918 of the family's 1533-position model. The record is from RNAcentral.
AUACGUAGGUGACAAGCGUUAUCCGGAUUUACUGGGCGUAAAGGGCGUGUAGGCGGUCUUGCAAGUCAGAAGUGAAAUUCCUGAGCUCAACUCGGGCGCUGCUUCUGAAACUGCAGGACUUGAGUGCUGGAGGGGAUAGCGGAAUUCCUAGUGGAGCGGUAAAAUGCGCAGAUAUUAGGAAGAACACCGGUGGCGAAGGCGGCGAUCUGGACAGUAACUGACGCUGAGGCGCGAAAGCGUGGGGAGCAAACAGGAUUAGAUCCCCUGGUAGUCCACGCCGUAAACGAUGAAUACUAGGUGUAGGGGGUAUCGACUCCCUCUGUGCCGCAGUUAACACAAUAAGUAUUCCGCCUGGGGAGUACGGCCGCAAGGUUGAAACUUAAAGGAAUUGACGGGG